ACUGCCUUGUCAGUGGAAGUGGGCGUUUUCGGAAGAGGCAAUCAGCAGGUGAUAGGUGUGUGAGAAGAUUUUGAGGACGGUUUUGAGGCCAUUAGGGGAAGGGGAGCUUGAGGAAGAAACCAACUGAGGAAAAAAAAGGAAAAGGGUUUUACAAAGGAACUGAGGAUGAGAAUAGUAGGUUUUCAUUUUCUGGGAUUCAAGGGUAGUUUUAAGUGAGAGCUGAAAAAAAUGUGUGAAAUAGAAAUAGUGAAUCGGUAGAGAGAUAAUUUCAGCUUAAGUGAGGGCCAUUCCAUAAGGAGUUAGAGAGUAGAAAGGGGCAUUUAGAGCAGCAAAGACAAGAAGCGAAAAAGCGAAGGAGAAGAAGCACAGAAUCAGCUCGCUACUCUUUUUCUUAUCCAGUCAUGAUUACAACAUAUUUUACAUUUUCCCAUUUUAGACUAUUCUCCCUUGUUUCCUGCUGAUUUUGGAUUCAUCUUGGUGCUUGAAUGUUGACAUCAGAUAUUGUGCAUAUUUGUGAAAUCUAAGACCAAUUUUUAUGCAUUUUCUUUUAUUCUAGUAUGGUUCUUUUAGCUCUGUUUGUAAGCAACUUGUGCAUUUCUCUAUUCAUGAACGAGUUGAAUAUGGAUCCAUCACUGAAUCUGAUUAUCAAAGAUCAUGCUCUUGCUUCCUUUUGAUUCCACCUGUAUCUAGCCCAUUGACCUUUAUGAAAUGGAGCUAGGUUUAACCAUAUUAUUUUUGUUUGUGCAUGCUUUGUUUUUGUUUUUUUUUUUUACUUUCUCCUCUGUUUCUGGUAUUUUUGGAGUGGUGGGUAUCAUGUUUGGGUUGGCCAUCUUGAUAUGUGUGCUUUUUGAAGAGCUCAGGUUGGUCCAAUAGCUUCAGUUGUGGAAGAAGUCUAGCUGUUGAGAGUGUCUUCCAAGCUCAGAAUUGAUUUUGUUGGCACCAUUAAUUAGCGUGAAGAGUACCCCUGGUGCUUCCAGAGAGUAGUGCUUGAAUGUGAAGAUGAGAGUCUUGUUAGCAUGGAUUUAGCUUCUAUAGGGACACACCUCGAGGGGUCCCCUAGUGUCAGCGCUUUCUCUUGAUUUAGAACACUUUUGGAACUGAAUGCAUGAGUAGUAGGCAUCUGGGGAAAUUGAAGUGUUGAACAGAUAAAAGAAAAUAAGCAAGACUUUUUUAAGAAGGAAAUAUUGCUCAUGGGAAUCAAUUGGUACACAAGUCCAGAAAAAGUUUCUUAUGCUCCUGUGAUUUCUGCUGAAAAGGCAUACCAUAAGCAACUUUCAGCAGCUGAAAUUACCAACAAUGCUUUUGAGCCCUCUUCUAUGAUAGCCCAGUGUGACACCUGCCAGGGCCAGAACACGACAUGCUAGCUGAAGUAUCGAGGUGAUGGGGUGCCCAAGGACGCAAGUGCCGAUGUAGCCACCAUCUCUCCCACCUUUGCACUGCCAUGCAUGGCCACCCAAAACCUUCGUAAAACCCUCAACUGAAACCCCAUUCUAUCAAACCUUAAUCUCAAGCCAAACCGCUCCUGUCUAAAACGUCAUGAUAAACUCACCACCUCCCUAUCUAUUAUACCCACUACCAACAACUUAUUCAACCACCAUACCCAUAUGUCCAUCUUUCAAUACCCACUAAACCCACUUUUCUCACUACCUUCCACCACCCAUUCCGUCAAUCAUAACCCACACCCUUCAUACCCACCAGUCCCCAUUAUUCAUAUCCACCGAACCUGAUCACCAGAACGCACUCACCCAUUCAGCUCAUCACUUUCGCAACCAUCCACCUAUACCCAAUCCUCUACCCGAUCUCCUUGUCACCUUUCCCACCCCCCUACUUGCAUGGCACGCAUGAUAUUUUCUAGCAUUGGUAGAAAUUAAUGGAGGAUGUGAGGAAACCUUGACACUGUUUAGGAAGAGGCAAGAGUUGGAAAUCCAUCAAAAGUUGAUGAGCUUGCAUACAUUUCAAAGGCGUAGCACAUGGUCCUGACCAUGCUACAAAUAUUAGAAGCUUGAGGAUGAACAAAGGAAUGACUCAGGUGAAAGCAAGACAUAUGGAUAGACGCGGCUUUAAGGAAGUGUUGGAAUUUUUAUGUGUGGACUUACAUAAUCAAUUUAAUAAUGUCAUAAAUCAGUGUUAUUUAUUUUUGCAUUGUGGUCCAUAAUGGGACUGGACACAUAUUGUUGCUUGAUUUUUUAUGGGCUCACCCUAAUUCACUUGACUGGCCCAUUAAGUCAAGUGGUGGUCCAAAUAAUGUGUGUGAUAUAUAUAUAUGAAUAUAUUUAUUUAUUUAUAUAUAUACAUAAAAGAAAAGGAAGGGCUCUCUCUGUGAGGUUGGCUGCUCCCUGCUCCUUCCUCCUUUGGCUGAAAGAGAGCACGCACUCUCGUUUUGGACUGAAUCCGGGUGUAGAAGGGAAGAGCUCAUUGACCUGUAAUUCUCGCACCAUCAAGCACUGGAGGAGCUUCCUGAAUACCAGAAAAGAGCUAGAAAUGGCCUUUCACGGAAUUAACCAAGAAGGGAAGAGCUCAUUGACCUGUAAUUCUCGCACCAUCAAGCACUGGAGGAGCUUCCUGAAUACCAGAAAAGAGCUAGAAAUGGCCUUUCACGGAAUUAACCAAGGUGAACGUUUCCGUUUUUGCCGUUCAAUGGAUGCUUAAAUGUCAACAUGUGAUCCUAUGCUGUUUAAAUUUUCUUCAGGAAGCUGACCUAAGUAACCCAGACAAGGAUCGAGACCUUGAGUUUGGUGGUUCUGAAGGAGAAGACAUCCCUAGAGUUGGAAGUAAUUGGUGAAGAUGGGACUGUACAAUCUGUUUGAGCAAGUUGUAUUUGGCACAAUUAAAGAUCUUGUUGUUCCACGUUGGAAUGAAAGGUUCCACUAUCCACAAGACUGUAAGGCUGCAGGGAAGAGGAGAGAAGCUAUCGUCUUGUUCUAUCUCCAAUGACCUGCAUCAGUUCCUUCAAUCCUUUGCAUGAGCCCUUUUAAUCUCUGACCCCGCUCCAUUUCCUCACGUGACUCUCAUGCCAAAUGUAGCCUCGUUGCCAGGUGUGCUCUCGCAUCUCGCAUGGGUUUAAACGGAUAAAAAGUCAAGUGGCCUUAGAGAUCUUAGGUGACUCUUCAUCAUUGGCAAGAGAGGAAUUAUCAUGCAGUCCCACUUUGGCACUGCUCGACCCCCAUGCUGCCAUCCACAUGCAUUCAAACCUCUACCAGAUUUACCUUUGUCAACCCCACAUGUAGACUAUACAAGUCCAUGAUUUGAGUUUGAGUCAAAAAAUUUCUGAAUUUGAUGAUUCUAA
This is a long non-coding RNA of Vitis vinifera (wine grape), 3286 nucleotides long. RefSeq lists it as uncharacterized. Lineage: Eukaryota; Viridiplantae; Streptophyta; Magnoliopsida; Vitales; Vitaceae. The transcript is spliced from 2 exons. The record is from RefSeq and is a predicted model, not a curated record.